This 251-nucleotide ribosomal RNA is filed under the name uncultured prokaryote. RNAcentral's name for it is "partial 16S rRNA". It matches the Rfam family "Bacterial small subunit ribosomal RNA", at positions 525 to 775 of the family's 1533-position model. The record is from RNAcentral.
ACGGGGGGUGCAAGCGUUGUUCGGAAUUAUUGGGCGUAAAGAGCGUGUAGGCGGCUGAAUAAGUCAGAUGUGAAAUCCCUGGGCUUAACCCAGGAAGUGCAUUUGAAACUAUUCAGCUUGAGUAGGGGAGAGGAAAGUGGAAUUCCUGGUGUAGAGGUGAAAUGCGUAGAUAUCAGGAGGAACACCGGUGGCGAAGGCGACUUUCUGGCCUGAUACUGACGCUGAGGCGCGAGAGCGUGGGGAGCAAACAG